Lolium rigidum is the source of this 4004-nucleotide long non-coding RNA. RefSeq lists it as uncharacterized. The transcript has 3 exons. The record is from RefSeq and is a predicted model, not a curated record. NCBI's taxonomy places the organism in Eukaryota, Viridiplantae, Streptophyta, Magnoliopsida, Poales, Poaceae.
AAACCGCUCUCCCCAAUCCCCAAUCUCUGCCGUGGAGGUCUUUCCCUAGGGGCCGCCGCCUUCCUCUUCCUCCAGAACGCCUGCAGCGCUUCACGUUCGAGCUCGCCGGCAAGAAUUGCAGCAACGGGAGCAGCACACAGGGAGGAGGGGCAGUAGGGCACGCGCGGAAGGCGGGCCGCGGAACGGCAUCGGGGCGGUUGAGGAGCCGGCGCUCUGCUGUGUCGGCGGGAAGCAGCGUGGGAGGACUUUCGAGCUCCCCAAAAUCGUGGUGGCGAUGGCGCCAACGGAGAGAAAUCGGCAAAGGAGGCCAUCGCGGUGCCGGCCAAACAGCAUGUCUCUCUUCCACUUCCUCGGACAACGACGGCGACCAAACGUAGCGCCAGUAAGCCUAUUUCCUUCUGAUUUGAUGUGAUUUUGUUUACUUGGUCAAAGCAGCUCUCGGUAUCUGAGGUGUGUCUUCUCUUUCUGUGUCCUGUCUUCCAAUGACUCUGAUCUCUACCUUACUUCUAAACUCAGCAAACAGUCUACUUUUAGUGUGUGUUUGGUUGAGCUUUUGAAACCAACUUUCAGGUUACCACCGUACAAUCUGAACCAAACAGGUAUUUUAGGCACCAGAUUAUCCAUUUAAUAUGGGUUUCCUAUGCUAUUUAAGUUUCUCUCUAAAUGUCGCCAGUAUGCACAAAUCGGUAAAAAAACGAAGAAAUUAAGCUUUCCAUUAAUUGUCAGCAGUUUUUGUGAACUUAUUUUUCUAGGCUGUGUCACCUUCUGUCUUGCUUAUAGGCUACAUGGUUCUGUCAAAAAAGUUCUGCAAAACUGAAAUAACUUCUGUUUUUUGAGUCAUCUCUUGGUUGCCAAAUAGCUAUCUGCUUUUUGAGUCGCUUUUUAUGAAGCUUUUUUGUGUAAAUUUGGUUGGGGCAACAGAAAAUUACACAGAAUUAAUGUUUUGUUGUUUUCUAUUAGCUCUGAUCUCAUGCCUUACUGCUAAACCGAUCAAACAGUCUACUGUUAAUAUGAACUUUCUAUGCUAUUUAAGUUUCUGUGUAAAUGUUGCCACUUGCCAGUAUACACAAAUCGGUAAAACAAAAAUAUAAGCUUUAUGUGAAUUGUAAGUAGUUUUUGUGAACUUAUUAUUCUAGACUGUAUCACCUUCCGUCUUGCUGAUAUACAAUACAUGGAUCUGCCAAAAAAGUUCUGCAAAAUUGAAAUAACACCUGCUUUUUGAGUAAUCUGUUGUUGCCAAAGAGCUAUCUGAACAUAUCAGAAUUCCCUUCGUAUUGCUUUGUACUUUCACAUGUAUAUAAGGUGAGCAAGCCCAUGGGUUUUCAAAUAUCAUUGAUGAGUUGCAUAAAGAAAGAAGAGGUAUUCACCUCAAUUUAUUUGCCGCACAUACUCUGCUAGGUUAUCUUUGGUCAAGCCAUUAAGGGUUUUUUCCAGCCCUUUUUAGAGGGCAUCUCUUCAGACCCUGUGUCAGGGUUUUCAAUGUCUACAUAUUUUAUUUCGAAAUUUUUAUUCUUUGCAUCCAAACGAGAUGUAAACAAUACCUUAGGCAAAGCAAAGCUAUCAUCUGUAGAUCAAGAAUCUACUGGUUCAGCAUUAACUUGUAAUACUCAUCUUGUAGUGCACCUGGGGGAGUAGCUCCUGUUGGACAGAAGUUACUCUUAAAAGAUAACCAGGUUUCUUUACCAUAGAGAACAUUAGCAAGUCUACCUGAUUCGACACAAAAAAAGCUUCAUAUGAAGAGACUACUCUGACAUUUUUCUUCUUUCUUGGAAUUUCAGAUUACGAUUGUUUUUAUCACAGAUGGUUGUGUUCCUCUUCUGGAUUAAGGAAAGAAGAGGGAGAAGUUGAUGCAUCUCAUCAAGCAAUCAUGCCUACAUCAGGACCAAGUGAACUUCAAGAUUCUCAUGCUGGACAUCAAGAAUUACAUGAAUGUUCAAAUACUGAUGCACAUUGGGUUGUUUCUAAUGAAGACAAAUCACCACCUAUGGUCAGCCAAGCACACAGUUUAGUGGCUGGGCUUAAUUCUGUACCAACUAGGCAACCAGUGAUAUUAUUCCUACUAGUGGUGAUGAGUCAGUGCUUUGUUCGCUUUACCCAGGAUGUAUCAGCAGCUGUUACUUAUCCGGGUUGUAUCCACAGGGUUGUCCCCAAACAUUAAAAAACACGAAAUCAUAACAGUUCUAUUGAGGGUUGGAGUAUGUAUUAGUGAGAUAUUUGUUCUUCUGUGAGUUGUCCGUUAGAAUAUUUGAUUUAACAAUGGUAAUUUCAGUGUAGUUUACUCCUUAGAUAUAUACAUACCAUCAUAUUCUUGCAUGUUACAAUGUCCUAUCUCCUGUAUUCCCACUUCUUCAGCUUACAAUCGCUCCACAUGCGCCAAUUCUCCAUCUGGAAUUUGGAAGUGUGCAUUUUUGUUCCAAAAGUUUGGAAGCAUCAUUUCCUGACUUCCAAUGCAGCACAUCAAUUAGUUUUAUUGCCAUCACAAUCAUGUUAUAGGUUUGUAUACAGUUAUUCACGAUUAGUGGGUCACUGAUUACUACAAUGCUCCUUUAUUGUUGAUUCUUCCAUCCCGCUAUUCUUUCUUUUUUUACCAUGCCGUGCUCAUGCAUAGCUAUUGUUUUUCUUUGUCUUGCAAACAAACGAUGAUUUCUGAGGUGAGCUACAUUCUGAUAAACUCAUCAGGCUAUGUCUAUCUGUCAUUCUGCAUGUCGUAGGUUUUAUUCCAAAAGUGAGUCUUUAGAUAUCAUAAGUUUGGUCACAGAACAAUGUCGUGUCAUGCACCACAAUAUUACACGAAAGUGGACUAUUAUCACCCUUGACUGAACAUAUAUAGGUACUAUGGCAUACCUAAGUGUCUGGUAAUUUUAUGGUCAUUAGGGGCCAUCCGUUGUAGUCACCGUGUCUUAGCUGCUUUAUGAUAUCAUUGUGAGCUGUUGUGAUGUCUACUUAGUUGCACAUGGCUUGCCAAUGUGAUCAGUGCAUUGGAUACUAGAGUUCAGACUUAGUGUUUAUUGAAUAUUAAGUAGCACCUAACAAUACCUAAUCCUACCAUGCAAAUGAUGUUGGAAGAAAAUAUCAGUAUACGCCCUCCAGGAGAACCGAUUCGCUAUAGUGGUGCUAAAUCUUUCAUCUACAGUACACUUUCAUACAAAUGCAUGGAGUAGAGAGAUACGUUGGAUGAAUGUGCAGGCAGAUUUCAAAAUUGUACCAUGAAAUGAUAAUGAAAUACUACCAUUACGAAAAUUUGCUUACUUCUAAGCAUAUGCGUUUGUAUGUAGUUUGCUAUGUUGCACUAUCAUCUACUCUGUGAACUUGGUACAAUCUGUGCAAUUUUAUAUGGAGCACAUUGUGCUGAAUGAUCUACCUACUGUUUUGUUGCAAACCAUUGGGCUACCUUACAAAUAUACAACAAUCAAUUAUUUGAAUCAAGUCUAAUCAGAUGUUGCCCUUCCAACAUGCCACUCGAUAGAUCAUCAAAUAUGUAUUCAAAGGAAAAAUGCACGUGCGAGGCGGCCAAAGCUGACCCAUGGUUCACAAUGGAUGGACAGUAGACCAGCUUAGGGGGAGCUAGCUGAAGAUUUCGAGAAGUUUAUGAGCUCUUAUUUCAUAGCUGGAGACUGGAACCAUCUGUAUUGGCAGAUGAACUAGCAAUUUAAUUUGGCCAGUUUGUGCUUGGCAUUCUUUUAUUGUGGUUUAGCAUGACAUUAGAGGAACUAUACUAUUAUUGUGAGUGGUAUACAUUUUUGAAUGAGUAGUUAUAACAUUUUUAUGAUAAUUACUCACGAGCUAGAUAGAUAAUGUUCAAGUUCUAUAUGACUGCAUGUAUAUAUAUUGGAGUAACUUUGCAUAGUUGCAGUGUCCCGUUUGUUUGUGAGUGUGGUAGUUCUGCAUGGCUGCGGCCCUCUCCUUGUGCUAAACGAUUUCUCAAUGUCAAGAGUAAUUUCCUAAUACUCGCCUCACAAGUACAACUUACAACAGAUCAUAUAUUCUUUUUCAACUCAUAACUA